This is a microRNA precursor of Brassica oleracea var. oleracea, 124 nucleotides long. It matches the Rfam family "MIR9563 microRNA precursor family". NCBI's taxonomy places the organism in Eukaryota, Viridiplantae, Streptophyta, Magnoliopsida, Brassicales, Brassicaceae. The record is from Rfam.
GGAAGUUAAGAAACUGUUUCUUAACUUUUAACUAAAAAAGCUAAAAAUCGGUUCUUAAAUAAGGACUUUAAGAACUGGUACUUAGCUUUUUUAGUUAAAAGUUAAGAAACGGUUUUUAACUUAC